GGGGUUGUGGCUCAGUGGUAGAGCGCUCGCCUCGAAUGUGCGAGACCCUGGGUUUCAAGCCUUAACACCA
Molecule: transfer RNA, 70 nt
Filed under: Ictidomys tridecemlineatus (thirteen-lined ground squirrel)
Lineage: Eukaryota; Metazoa; Chordata; Mammalia; Rodentia; Sciuridae
Description: Spermophilus tridecemlineatus (thirteen-lined ground squirrel) tRNA
Rfam family: tRNA
About the family: Transfer RNA (tRNA) molecules are approximately 80 nucleotides in length. Their secondary structure includes four short double-helical elements and three loops (D, anti-codon, and T loops).
Source: Rfam by way of RNAcentral